AGCGAUGUUUGUGAUGGUCUGGGAGACAUGAGUUAGAGCUGUAUGCUCAGCCCCAGUGGAGGAGGCAGCCUAGGACACUGCAGACCAGCCAGCUUCAGCACUGUGAGACUACCUUGUCCUACUUCCAUCAGGGUUUUUCAAUGUGCCAGUAAAACAACCAAACCUUUGGAAGAAGGCAGAAAAUGGAAUUUUGAAAGUUUCUGAAGUUUCUUCAGCUGCCUUGUGGGAAGAAGUAACCACCUAGGAUCCUGUAGGCUACUGUGUCAAGGGAAAAUGUAGCAGAGAGUGAGACCAUGGACAAGGCAACCAAAACCACCUGAGU
Non-coding RNA from Lonchura striata (white-rumped munia), 322 nucleotides. Lineage: Eukaryota; Metazoa; Chordata; Aves; Passeriformes; Estrildidae. The record is from RefSeq and is a predicted model, not a curated record.